Molecule: non-coding RNA, 871 nt
Filed under: Lerista punctatovittata
Lineage: Eukaryota; Metazoa; Chordata; Lepidosauria; Squamata; Scincidae
Description: partial 12S ribosomal RNA
Rfam family: Bacterial small subunit ribosomal RNA
Source: RNAcentral
AGUUUUGGUCCUAAACUUGCCCUUGUUUUUUAUCAAAAUUAUACAUGCAAGCCUCCACACACCAGUGAGAAUGCCCAUACACCCCCUAAACAGCGAACCGGAGCGGGUAUCAGGAUACAACACCAACCUUAGCCAAAGACACCUUGCCUGUGCCACACCCACACGGGUUUUCAGCAGUAAUUAACAUUAAAACAUGAGCGUUAAAGCUCGACUUAGUUAUGAUAAACAAGGCCGGUAAAUUUCGUGCCAGCCACCGCGGUUAUACGAAAGACCGAAAACAACGGCCCACGGCGUAAAGCGUGACUGGGGGCACGAAUCAUUAAAGGGGCACAACAACCAAGUUGUAAAACACUACUGCACGUUAGAACCUCAAUAAAACACCUUUAACACACCUCACCUCACGAAAACUAAGAAACAAACUGGGAUUAGAUACCCCACUAUGCUUAGCCCUAAACACAGAUGGCACACAAUACAAUGCUAUCCGCCAGAGAACUACAAGCGAAAAGCUCGAAACUCCAAGGACUUGGCGGUGCUUCAAAUCAACCUAGAGGAGCCUGUCCUAUAAUCGAUACCCCGCGUUUUACCUUACCCCUCCUAGUCAAUCAGCCUAUAUACCGCCGUCGCCAGCCUACCCUGUGAAAGAAACAAAGUGGGCAAAAAAGUCUAUAACUAACACGUCAGGUCAAGGUGUAGCAAACGGAGCGGAAGAGAUGGGCUACAUUUCUUCAAAGAAGAAACACGAAUAGCACACUGAAACACACACUUAAAGGCGGAUUUAGUAGUAAGAUAAAUAAGAACAUUUAUCUUAAACCUGCUCUGAAGCGCGCACACACCGCCCGUCACCCUCAUCACAUGUAACAUAACAAAAAAU